AGCGAACGCUGGCGGUAGGCCUAACACAUGCAAGUCGAACGGCAGCACAGUAAGAGCUUGCUCAUACGGGCGGCGAGUGGCGGACGGUUGAGGAAUACACCGGAAUCUACUUUUUCGUGGGGGAUAACGUAGGGAAACUUACGCUAAUACCGCAUACGACCUACGGGUGAAAGCAGGGGUUCUUCGGACCUUGCGCGAUUGAAUGAGCCGAUCUCGGAUUAGCUAGUUGGCGGGCUAAAGGCCCACCAAGGCGACGAUCCGUAGCUGGUCUGAGAGGAUGAUCCGCCACAUGGGAAGAGAGACACGGUCCAGACUCCUGCGGGAGGCAACAGUGGAGAAUAUUAGACAAUGGGGGCGAGCCUGAUCCAGCCAUACCGCGUAGGUGAUGAUGGCGUUCGGGUGGGAAAGCCCUUUUGUUGGGAGAGAAAAGCAGCAGGUUAAUACCCCGCUAUACUGACGGUACCCGAAGAAUAAGCACCGGCUAACUUCGUG
Molecule: ribosomal RNA, 492 nt
Filed under: uncultured bacterium
Lineage: Bacteria
Description: partial 16S ribosomal RNA
Rfam family: Bacterial small subunit ribosomal RNA
Source: RNAcentral